GAUUCUGGCUCAGGAUGAACGCUGGCGGCGUGCCUAACACAUGCAAGUCGAGCGAUUUACUUCGGUAAGGAGCGGCGGACGGGUGAGUAACGCGUGGGUAACCUGCCUCAUACACAUGGAUAACAUACCGAAAGGUAUGCUAAUACAGGAUAAUAUAAGAGAUUCACAUGGAUUUCUUAUCAAAGCUCCGGCGGUAUGAGAUGGACCCGCGUCUGAUUAGCUAGUUGGUAAGGUAAUGGCUUACCAAGGCGACGAUCAGUAGCCGACCUGAGAGGGUGAUCGGCCACAUUGGAACUGAGACACGGUCCAAACUCCUACGGGAGGCAGCAGUGGGGAAUAUUGCACAAUGGGCGAAAGCCUGAUGCAGCAACGCCGCGUGAGUGAUGAAGGCCUUCGGGUCGUAAAACUCUGUCCUCAAGGAAGAUAAUGACGGUACUUGAGGAGGAAGCCCCGGCUAACUACGUGCCAGCCGCCGC
This 476-nucleotide ribosomal RNA is filed under the name uncultured bacterium. RNAcentral's name for it is "bacterial SSU rRNA". It matches the Rfam family "Bacterial small subunit ribosomal RNA", at positions 15 to 518 of the family's 1533-position model. The record is from RNAcentral.